This 1013-nucleotide ribosomal RNA is filed under the name Purpureocillium takamizusanense. RNAcentral describes it as "SSU rRNA". It matches the Rfam family "Eukaryotic small subunit ribosomal RNA", at positions 74 to 1098 of the family's 1831-position model. The record is from RNAcentral. Lineage: Eukaryota; Fungi; Ascomycota; Sordariomycetes; Hypocreales; Ophiocordycipitaceae.
UUAUACGGCGAAACUGCGAAUGGCUCAUUAUAUAAGUUAUCGUUUAUUUGAUAGCACCUUACUACUUGGAUAACCGUGGUAAUUCUAGAGCUAAUACAUGCUAAAAAUCCCGACUUCGGAAGGGAUGUAUUUAUUAGAUUAAAAACCAAUGCCCUCUGGGCUCUCUGGUGAUUCAUGAUAACUUCUCGAAUCGCAUGGCCUUGCGCCGGCGAUGGUUCAUUCAAAUUUCUUCCCUAUCAACUUUCGAUGUUUGGGUAGUGGCCAAACAUGGUUGCAACGGGUAACGGAGGGUUAGGGCUCGACCCCGGAGAAGGAGCCUGAGAAACGGCUACUACAUCCAAGGAAGGCAGCAGGCGCGCAAAUUACCCAAUCCCGACACGGGGAGGUAGUGACAAUAAAUACUGAUACAGGGCUCUUUUGGGUCUUGUAAUUGGAAUGAGUACAAUUUAAAUCCCUUAACGAGGAACAAUUGGAGGGCAAGUCUGGUGCCAGCAGCCGCGGUAAUUCCAGCUCCAAUAGCGUAUAUUAAAGUUGUUGUGGUUAAAAAGCUCGUAGUUGAACCUUGGGCCUGGCUGGCCGGUCCGCCUCACCGCGUGCACUGGUCCGGCCGGGCCUUUCCCUCUGUGGAACCCCAUGCCCUUCACUGGGUGUGGCGGGGAAACAGGACUUUUACUUUGAAAAAAUUAGAGUGCUCCAGGCAGGCCUAUGCUCGAAUACAUUAGCAUGGAAUAAUGAAAUAGGACGUGCGGUUCUAUUUUGUUGGUUUCUAGGACCGCCGUAAUGAUUAAUAGGGACAGUCGGGGGCAUCAGUAUUCAAUUGUCAGAGGUGAAAUUCUUGGAUUUAUUGAAGACUAACUACUGCGAAAGCAUUUGCCAAGGAUGUUUUCAUUAAUCAGGAACGAAAGUUAGGGGAUCGAAGACGAUCAGAUACCGUCGUAGUCUUAACCAUAAACUAUGCCGACUAGGGAUCGGACGAUGUUAUUUUUUGACUCGUUCGGCACCUUACGAGAAAU